AGUGAACGCUGGCGGUAGGCCUAACACAUGCAAGUCGAACGGCAGCACGGUAAGAGCUUGCUCUUACGGGUGGCGAGUGGCGGACGGGUGAGGAAUACAUCGGAAUCUACUUUUUCGUGGGGGAUAACGUAGGGAAACUUACGCUAAUACCGCAUACGACCUACGGGUGAAAGCAGGGGAUCUUCGGACCUUGCGCGAUUGAAUGAGCCGAUGUCGGAUUAGCUAGUUGGCGGGGUAAAGGCCCACCAAGGCGACGAUCCGUAGCUGGUCUGAGAGGAUGAUCAGCCACACUGGAACUGAGACACGGUCCAGACUCCUACGGGAGGCAGCAGUGGGGAAUAUUGGACAAUGGGCGCAAGCCUGAUCCAGCCAUACCGCGUGGGUGAAGAAAGCCUUCGGGUUGUAAAGCCCUUUUGUUGGGAAAGAAAAGCAGCAGGUUAAUACCCCGCUGUUCUGACGGUACCCAAAGAAUAAGCACCGGCUAACUUCGU
This 491-nucleotide ribosomal RNA is filed under the name uncultured bacterium. Its description in RNAcentral is "partial 16S ribosomal RNA". It matches the Rfam family "Bacterial small subunit ribosomal RNA", at positions 29 to 506 of the family's 1533-position model. The record is from RNAcentral.